Molecule: ribosomal RNA, 440 nt
Filed under: uncultured bacterium
Lineage: Bacteria
Description: partial 16S ribosomal RNA
Rfam family: Bacterial small subunit ribosomal RNA
Source: RNAcentral
CCUACGGGUGGCAGCAGUGGGGGAUAUUGCACAAUGGGGGAAACCCUGAUGCAGCGACGCCGCGUGGGUGAAGAAGCGCCUCGGCGCGUAAAGCCCUGUCAGCAGGGAAGAAAAUGACGGUAUCUGAAGACGAAGCCCCGGCUAACUACGUCCCAGCAGCCGCGGUAAUACGUAGGGGGCAAGCGUUAUCCGGAUUGACUGGGUGUAAAGGGGGCGCAGACGGCGAUGCAAGCCAGGAGUGAAAGCCCGGGGCCCAACCCCGGGACUGCUUGUGGAACGGCGUGGCCAGAGUGCAGGAGGGGCAGGCGGAAUUCCUGGUGUAGCGGUGAAAUGCGUAGAUAUCAGGAGGAACACCGGUGGCGAAGGCGGCCUGCUGGACUGCAACUGACGUUGAGGCCCGAAAGCGUGGGGAGCAAACAGGAUUAGAUACCCCUGUAGUC